RNAcentral lists this ribosomal RNA (400 nucleotides) under Paenibacillus xylanexedens. RNAcentral describes it as "bacterial SSU rRNA". It matches the Rfam family "Bacterial small subunit ribosomal RNA", at positions 38 to 425 of the family's 1533-position model. The record is from RNAcentral. Lineage: Bacteria; Bacillati; Bacillota; Bacilli; Caryophanales; Paenibacillaceae.
GGUGGCGCUGCCUAUACUGCAAGUCGAGCGGAGUGGAUAGGAAGCUUGCUUCCUUGAUGCUUAGCGGCGGACGGGUGAGUAACACGUAGGCAACCUGCCCUCAAGCUUGGGACAACUACCGGAAACGGUAGCUAAUACCGAAUACUUGUUUUCUUCGCCUGAAGAAAACUGGAAAGACGGAGCAAUCUGUCACUUGAGGAUGGGCCUGCGGCGCAUUAGCUAGUUGGUGAGGUAACGGCUCACCAAGGCGACGAUGCGUAGCCGACCUGAGAGGGUGAUCGGCCACACUGGGACUGAGACACGGCCCAGACUCCUACGGGAGGCAGCAGUAGGGAAUCUUCCGCAAUGGGCGAAAGCCUGACGGAGCAAUGCCGCGUGAGUGAUGAAGGUUUUCGGAUCG